RNAcentral lists this ribosomal RNA (253 nucleotides) under uncultured Acidobacteriota bacterium. RNAcentral's name for it is "uncultured Acidobacteria bacterium partial 16S ribosomal RNA". It matches the Rfam family "Bacterial small subunit ribosomal RNA", at positions 524 to 776 of the family's 1533-position model. The record is from RNAcentral. Lineage: Bacteria; Pseudomonadati; Acidobacteriota.
UACGAGGGGGGCGAGCGUUGUUCGGAAUUAUUGGGCGUAAAGGGUGCGUAGGCGGUUUGGUAAGUCUCGUGUGAAAUCUCCAGGCUCAACUUGGAGUCUGCACGAGAAACUGCCGGGCUUGAGUGUGGGAGAGGUGAGUGGAAUUCCUGGUGUAGCGGUGAAAUGCGUAGAUAUCAGGAGGAACACCUGUGGCGAAAGCGGCUCACUGGACCAUAACUGACGCUGAGGCACGAAAGCGUGGGGAGCAAACAGG